UUUAACUGCAGGGCCCUGUCUCCUAUAGCUCCCAAUUUCCACGUAUGAUCAAGACCGCUCUGGGGUAGAAUUAUAAUCACUCCCUACCCAAGUGAGUGAUCCGAGAGGAUGGGUAUAUGCUUCCAGUUACUUGCUUAUUCGGUCAACAAAACAUACGAAGCACCAGGCACCAUAUGGAGCUGGAAUACAUCAGUAACCAAGACUCACAGCUUCCAGUCUCCAGAGCUCUCCAGUGAGUGGAAAUAAGACAGCUUUCACUCGACAGGUCCACACUGCCGUUAUGAGCUGUCGCACUCACGUGCGCGAAAGUCUGCAGCUUCAUUCCUGAAGCCAGCGAGACCACGAACCCACCGUGAAGAACAAGCAACUCCAGACGCGUGGCAUCAAGAGCUGGAACACUCACCGCGAAGGUCUGCCACUUCACUCCUGAGCCAGCGAGACCACGAACCCACCAGAAGGAAGAAACUCCGAACAUAUCAGAGCGAACAAAUUCCAGACACGCCGCCUUUAAGAACUGUAACACUCACUGCAAGGGUCCGCGGCUUCAUUCUUGAAGUCAGUGAGACCAAGAACCCGCGAAUUCUGGACACAAUCCCAACUACUUGGGAGGCUGAGGCAGAAGAAUCGCUUGAACCCAGGAGCGGGAGAUUGCAGUGAGCCGAGAUUGUGCCACUGCACCCCAGCCUGGGCAACAGAGCAGGACUCCAUCUCAAAAAAUAAUGAUAAUAUGUUUUGGGAGGGUGAGGCUUGUGGAUAUCUUGAGCCCAGGAGUUCAAGACCAGUUUGGGCAACAUCAUGUCUCUACAAAAAAUAUAAAAAUUAGGCGUGGUGGCAUGUACCUGUAGUCCCAGCUACUCAGAAGGCUGAGGUGGGAGGAUGCUUGAGGCCAGGAGGAGGAGGUUUCAGUAAGCCGAGAUCGUGCCACUACACUCCAGCUUGGGCUGAAAAAGGUAAUGUAUUCACGAGACAUCGGUUUUAAAGGCACAAAAGGCUAGUGUUUCAGAAAGACUCAAGCCAUGUUUUUCUCUGCUCUCACACCAAUACAGCAACAAUCAACAUAAGACUUCUGUGACCCCAAAAUAUAUGGGGGUUUCUCCCCACCAGCAAGCAAGCAAUAAGCAAUCAAUUCUGCAGCAGAUGCCGUCUGGGUGUCCUCCAAUUCAAUUCUGACACCAUCUACCUGGAGCUAGCAUCAGAUCCCACAGGUAGCCACCCCCGUUCUCACACCAGUCGCCAAGUCCGGGCCUCCGGAGCUUCUGGCUUCAAGUUGGGGUUCCCACAACCUCUGCCCUGGGUUUAAUUUACUGGCGUGGCUCACAGAACUCAGAAAAACCUGUACAUUUGCCAGUUUACUAUGAAGGAUAUUAUGAAGGAGACAAUGAAGAGACGCAUCGGCGCGGUAUUGGGGUAGGGGUGCAGAGCUUCAUGCCCUGCUGGCACACCACCCUCCAGGAGCCCCCAUGCACCCAGUCAUCCAGAAGCCCUCCCAAGCCUGUCUUCUUGGGUCUCUAUGGAGGCUUCUUUAUGUCAGCAUUUCUGCCCCCAGGGUAUGGGGUGGAGCCUUCUCUGGAAUAAGGGUCUUAUGACCCAAGAUCAGAUUAGGGUCCUGCCUUGGGCAGGUGAAAGGAGGCAGGAAAAGGUCAGAGAGAUUCUGUUUCCCGAGGUCUAACACUCGCAACGUUCUUUUUUUAGUUAUUCUUUUUAUUUAUUUUUUACCUUUUCAGUGGUGCUGACACUCCCAACAUUGUAACAAAAGACUAACAAGGGCUCUGGGAGUUAUGAGAUAGGAACCAUGGAUCACACACACACACAGCCAUGGAUAACAUGGCUAAACCCCAUCUGUACAAAAAAAAAAAAAAAAUUAGCUGGGUGUGAUGGUGCACCUGUAGUCCCAGCUACUCGGGCGGCUGAGGUGGGAGAAUCCCCUGAGCCCUGGAGGUCAGGGCUGCAGUGGGCCAAGAUCGCACCACUGCACUCCAGCCUGGGCAUGGGAGUAAGAUUCUGUCUCAAAAAAACAAAGCAAAACAAAACAAAACGUAUUCUCAUCACACCAUAGCUAGUCAGUGAAAAGCCAGUCUUCCCCCAACUCUUGUCCCCCAGCUCACCUCUCCAGAAGGACCACUCCUAGUAGUUUCUUGGGUAUGCCCUCCAGAGACAGUCCUCACAAAUAUAUGAAAACACAUACAUAAUAUUCUGCACUUUGCUUUUCACAUAACACUGGGGUGGAGAUCUUUCCAUAUUAUAGCACAGAGGUUCCUCACUGUUCCUGGCUGUGUCAGCCACUGAGGUACACUGGGGUGGUAGGGUGGUGAACCCCAACUCCAAGGGGACAGAAGCUCUUGCACUUGGGACCCUUCCAGACCUUGCCCUAUGCACCUCUUCAUAGGGUGUUCAUCUGUAUCCUUUAUAAUCUCAACCCUAAUUAAUGACAUUGAGAAAUUAUGAUUGGGCCAGGCACGGUGGCCUGUAAUCCCAGUACUUUGGGAGGCCGAGGCAGGGAGAUCACCUGAGAUCAGGAGUUCAAGACUAGCCUGACCAACAUGGUGAAACCUCUUCUCUACUAAAAAUACAAAAAUUAGCUGGGUGUGGUCGCACAUGCCUGUAAUUCCAGCUACUGGGGAGGCUGAGGCAUGAGAAUCUCUUGAGCCUGGGAAGUGGAGGUUGCAGUGAGCCGAGAUUAUACCAUUGCACUCCAGCCUGGGUGAUAGAGUGAGACUCUGUCUCAAAAAAAGAAAAAAAAUUAUGGUUGAAUUAAGACUCUACUCCAGGCCAGGCGUGGUGGCUCACACCUAUAAUCCCAGCAUUUUGGGAGGCCAAGGCAGGCGGAUCAUGAGGUCAGGAGUUUGGGACCAGCUUGGCCAACAUGGUGAAACCCUGUCUUUUACUAAAAAUACAAAAAUUAGCUGGACAUGGUGGCGCGCGCCUGUAGUCCCAGCUACCUGGGAGACUGAGGCAGAAGAAUCACUUGAACCCGGGAGGUAGAGGUUGCAGUAAGCCAAGAUCACACCACUGCACUCCAGCCUGGCGACAGAGUGAGAUUCUGUCUCAAAAGAAAAAAAAAAAAAGUUUACUCCAGCUCAAAGCUUGAGGCCGUCCACCUGGGGAACACUGACUUCAGAAGAAUGAAUGGGUCAGGUCAGCUUCCAAAGUGGAGAAGGGAAGGUUUUGUUUACAUACGCAGUUCACAGGAUUGCAACAUUUUCCAUGCAAGGUCAGUACAUAUGCUUUAGCAAUUUGAUUGGUUAUGGCUUGUCACAUUCCAAGGAAGAUUGCUUUAAUAUUCUGUGAGGAGGGGUGCUGAUUCAAAGGGAUCUAUUUCUGGAGCCACAGUGCUUUUUCUAAUCAUUUAUAGGAAAAGGCAGAGGCUGUUGAAGCUGCUACCUGACUCAGGCCACAUAGCCACAUUCCUCUCAAGGCUCAAAAUAGUUUUGGCUGGGUGCCGUGCCUCACCCUGUAAUCCCAAUGCUUUUGGAGGCCAAGGUGGGAGGAUAGCUUGAGCCCAGGAGUUCAAGGUUGCAGUGAGCUAUGAUCACACCUCUGCAUUCCAGCCUGGGCAACAGAGUGAGACCCUGUCUCUAUAAUAAUAAUAAUUCAAAGUUCCAAUAGCUUUAAGUUUGAAUUAUUUAAUUUCAUAAUAAUAAACCAGCAUAUAUAAAGUGUUUCAUUGAGUUUGUUUGUUUUAGAGAUGGGGUCUCACUAUGUUGCCCAGGUUGGAGUGCAGUGGUUAUUCACAGGCAUGGUCAUGCACAAUGACUGUAGUCUCAAACUCCUAGGCUCGAGUGAUCCUCCCACACCUUCUCUGUUACCUAUGACUACAGGCAUGUGCCCCCAUGCCUGCCUGCCUGCCUGGCUCUAUUUCCUUAAGUUUUUUUUUUUUUUUUUUUUUUUGAGAAGGAGUCUUGCUGUGUCACCCAGGCUGGAGUUCAGUGCUGCAAUCUCAGCUACUGCAGCUUCCACCUCCUGGGUUCAAGCGAUUCUCGUGCCUCAGCCUCUCAAGUAGCUGGGAUUACACGUGUGCACCACCAUGCCUGGAUAAUUUUUGUAUUUUUUGUAGAGACGGCAUUUUGCCACGUUGGCCAGGCUGGUCUCGAACUCCUGACCUCAAGUGGUCCACCUGCCUCGGCCUCCCAAAGUGCUGAGAUUAUAGGCAUGAGCCACCGCACCUGGCCCUAUUUCCUUAAGUUAUAUGAGUCAUUCUAGCCCAUAACUGAACCAGAGGAGGCGGUCUUGGAAACCUCCAGCUUACAGUCGCUCAGUCAGAAAUAUGUGAGGAUGGAUUUACAUUUGGCUUCUGAAAUGGGGGCAGUUUUGUGGGACUGAGCCUUUAAUUUGUGGAAUCUGAUGUUAAUUCCAGGUAGAUAGUGUCAGAAUUGAAUUGAAUUCUAGGACACUCAGUGUUGGUCAGAGUGGGGAAAAUUCGCACACAAGGUAUCAGAAGUGCUCUGUGUGAGUGUAGACAAACUGUUUUCACAAUGUGUGACCCAGGGAUGCUUCUGAAACUUCAUCACCCAUGGAUGUCUUUCAUUUAUAGAGCUUCCUUGGCACAGAAUUUAGGUAUCAGAUGCUGACUGGUGAUUGACUUGUGACUCUGAGCAAUGGCCAUGUUGAAUUCAUACCCUGAAAUCCGCGAUACUGAAGCCUACAAUUCAUCCUUUCAAUUUCCCAUAGUAAAAACUCAGGAGAAAAACAGCCUGAUUCUAAAUGGGGCAGCUCCGCUGGGAGUUGGUAGAUAGGACACCCAAACUGCAGAGAAAACCUGGAAUAAAGUGAAGCUCAUUUUAAGAACUCUUGAGUCCAAAACCUUAAAAACACAUGCACUUUUCAGCCCAGCAAUUCCACUUCUAGGACUUUUCCAGGGUGAUAAACCAGGGACUCAGAUAUUCCCCCAGGGUUGUUUCCAAUCACUCAAAUUGGAAAAAAACUCAGUGUCCACAGAAGGGGAGAAGGGGGGGUGCAGAACAGAGGCAAUGGGGUUGUGGUUAAGUAAAUGGAGAUGUAGCCCUGGGACUGGGUCCCCUAGGACGAGGGAAACAUGAGCAGGAAAUGGAUAAAUAGAAAGAUAAUCGAGUUUUAAGCCCCCAGAGAGAAGGCUGGUUACGAAAUAGUAUAUACGAUGUGAUUUUUUUUUUUUUUUUUUUUGAGAAAGAGUCUCUCUCUCUCACCCAGGCUGGAGUACAGUGGUGUGAUCUCAGC
This 5193-nucleotide long non-coding RNA is filed under the name Homo sapiens (human). RNAcentral's name for it is "HSALNT0215784". Lineage: Eukaryota; Metazoa; Chordata; Mammalia; Primates; Hominidae. The record is from RNAcentral.